RNA transcript from Camponotus floridanus (Florida carpenter ant), 1264 nucleotides. It is a transcript of the gene named odorant receptor 4, with no coding region annotated. NCBI's taxonomy places the organism in Eukaryota, Metazoa, Arthropoda, Insecta, Hymenoptera, Formicidae. The transcript has 6 exons. The record is from RefSeq and is a predicted model, not a curated record.
CUCAGGUUUCAUAUAACUUACGUUACAAAUGAAGUCCAAUAGAAGUACGGCGGAACAUUUAAAAUUAAUCGAAAAAAAUGCCACCAAACAAAUGUCAGGACGAUAUUUUAUAUAUCACGCAACUCGUAAUGUUUUAUUUGCACUUGGCGCCUGGCCAUCUAUUGAUCAUGAAGAAUCCAUGCGUCCGCAAGCUUGUAAUUUUUUGCUAAUUUGUGUGACUUACACUCUUCUUUUCUGCGAACUUUUACCUGGUAUUCUUUAUUGGUUGAUGGAGAAAUCAACGCGCAUUCGACUCCAGACAAUUCCUCUUCUUCUCUAUGACAUCCUGUCUGUCAGUCAAUACGGGAUUUUUAUAUUUCGCCGUGAUCAGCUUGGUCAAUGCUUGAAACAUGUCGAAGAAGAUUGGAAUAAUAUUAUUAGUGCGGAUAUGCGUAAUAUUAUGUGGAAAUCCACGAAGACGGGCAAAUACCUGGCUAAAAUUUGCGGAAUUUUCAUGUAUACUGGUGCCGUUACAUUUCGAACUAUCUUACCAUUAUCCCAAGGAAAAACCGUCACUGAUCAGAAUAUUACAAUAAGACCAUUUGCUUGUCCGGGUUACUUCUUUUCUCUCGACAUCUAUGUCAGUCCGGUUUAUGAGAUACUCUUUACAAUUCAAUGUUUAACAGGUAUUGUUAUGGUUUCGAUCGUGAUAAGUGCAUGCGGCCUUACAGCAAUUUUCGUAGUACAUGCUUGCGGCCAAUUAAAGAUCUUAAUCGGCUUGAUGAGAAACCUUGUGCAGGAAUCUUGGCUAGAGGAGCAUGAAGUGGAUAAGAAAUUAGCUGAAAUAGUCAAGCAUCAAAUAAGAGUGCGCAGUUUUUUAAAAUUGGUACAGCAUACUCUACAAGAAAUAUAUUUGAUAGAAAUAAUGGUAAAUACGAUUGCUACCUGUGUUUUACUAUACUUUAUGAUACUGGAUUGGCAAAAUAAAACAACUCAUAUAUUUAUAUUUUGUUAUACCGGUGAACAACUUACCGGUCAGGCAGAAAAGGUGGCCAUUGAAUCCUGUGAACUAGAAUGGUAUCGUCUUCCGAACAAGAAAGCUCGCAACGUUAUAUUACUGAUGAUUAUGUCUAAUACACCAACUAAGCUGUCCGCUGGAAAAUUUGUUGAUCUAUCACUCAAGACAUUUGGUGAUAUUAUGAAAACAUCUGGAGCAUAUUUUAAUAUGCUUCGAAAUGUAAUCGAGUGAAUGUUUAAAUUCUAAUAAACGAGAUUAUGACAAAUU